RNAcentral lists this ribosomal RNA (442 nucleotides) under uncultured bacterium. RNAcentral's name for it is "bacterial SSU rRNA". It matches the Rfam family "Bacterial small subunit ribosomal RNA", at positions 954 to 1392 of the family's 1533-position model. The record is from RNAcentral.
GCAUAACGCGAAGAACCUUACCUACACUUGACAUACCUCUUGGGACUUUCAGAGAUGAUUGUUUUCGGUUCGGCCGGGGAGGAGACAGGUGGUGCAUGGUUGUCGUCAGCUCGUGUCGUGAGAUGUUGGGUUAAGUCCCGCAACGAGCGCAACCCUUAGGUCUAGUUGCCAGCACUUCGGGUGGGCACUCUAGAGCGACUGCCGGUGACAAACCGGAGGAAGGCGGGGAUGACGUCAAAUCAUCAUGCCCCUUAUGACCUGGGCUACACACGUGCUACAAUGGCCGGUACAAAGGGCAGCGAAGCCGCGAGGCGGAGCCAAUCCCAAAAAGCCGGUCUCAGUUCGGAUUGCAGGCUGCAACUCGCCUGCAUGAAGUCGGAAUUGCUAGUAAUCGCGGAUCAGCAUGCCGCGGUGAAUACGUUCCCGGGUCUUGUACACACCG